This 522-nucleotide long non-coding RNA is filed under the name Homo sapiens (human). Its description in RNAcentral is "HSALNT0157232". The record is from RNAcentral. Lineage: Eukaryota; Metazoa; Chordata; Mammalia; Primates; Hominidae.
CCGGUGCCUGUUCAGGGCUUCACGUGGAUCUGAGCAUCAUGCGGACACGGUGGCGUCUGCCCUCAGGGACACUGCACAUCCAUCCUCGUACCACGAACCCAGCUCAAGUGCAGGAAAGCUGCCAAUCUGCACACGUAGAAACGCUGGCGGGAAACCGACUGCCCUUCUCAAGAAUCAUCAUGGAUGUUUGCAACCACAUCUCAACACACAACCAGCUUUCACGAUUGCCAAGUCCUGGGCGGGGUAUCACAGCACUGUCUAGAUUUGGCCUGUGCCACCAACAGAAGCCUUGGAUUAAACCAGAAUCAAUAGUAAUAAAUAGCUCUCUAAACCAAAUAUGUUGAAAUCACUAAUGCACUCAUAUUUUUACGAUUAUAGCAUUUUAAAGUAACCAACCCAAUACCGAUCUCUACUUAUAGAGAAAACACCUAUUAGGCACACUUAUAGAAAAAUCCUCUGUGCCUUGUAUAUUCACACAGCACGUGUGAUCACUCAAAGGAACUGAAUGCCUGGAGGGUGAAC